AUUGAACGCUGGCGGCAUGCCUAACACAUGCAAGUCGAACGAGCGGCGGACGGGUGAGUAAUGUAUGGGAAUCUGCCCGAUAGCGGGGGAUAACUACUGGAAACGGUGGCUAAUACCGCAUACUCUCGGAUCAACCCAUAUGGGAUUAGCUAGUUGGUGGGGUAAAGGCUCACCUAGGCGACGAUCCAUAGCUGGUCUGAGAGGAUGAUCAGCCACACUGGGACUGAGACACGGCCCAGACUCCUACGGGAGGCAGCAGUGGGGAAUAUUGGACAAUGGGCGAAAGCCUGAUGCAGCAAUGCCGCGUGUAUGAAGAAGGCCUUCGGGUUGUAAAGUACUUUGAGCGGAGAGGCGUUACCCGCAGAAGAAGCACCGGCUAACUCCGUGCCAGCAGCCGCGGUAAUAC
RNAcentral lists this ribosomal RNA (406 nucleotides) under uncultured bacterium. RNAcentral's name for it is "partial 16S ribosomal RNA". It matches the Rfam family "Bacterial small subunit ribosomal RNA", at positions 30 to 526 of the family's 1533-position model. The record is from RNAcentral.